RNAcentral lists this ribosomal RNA (188 nucleotides) under Glomus sp. (unid). The record is from RNAcentral. Lineage: Eukaryota; Fungi; Glomeromycota; Glomeromycetes; Glomerales; Glomeraceae.
GAGUCUUACCUGCGGACAAUCAGCUUUUUGAGUGUGAUUAUGUGGAUUGUGAGGAGUUUAAUCACCCUCAUGUUUUGCAUAUUCGUGCUCUUGGGUGUACUUGCCCGUGUGGUAGGUUAACAUCAAUUUCGGACGUCAUAAAAUGAUUGGAGGAGUGUAGCUUUGAUCUCGUAUCGAAGUUGUUAUAG